ACUCUCGGCAACGGAUAUCUCGGCUCUCGCAUCGAUGAAGAACGUAGCGAAAUGCGAUACUUGGUGUGAAUUGCCGAAUCUCGUGAACCAUCGAGUCUUUGAACGCAAGUUGCGCCUGAAGCCACUAGGCCGAGGGCACGUCUGCCUGGGCGUCACGCAUCGCAUCGCCCCCGCACAUUGCGCCCAUUCUCAUAGUUGCGUUUGUGUCGUGGGACGUAUACUGGCCUCCCGUGUUCCUCGAGUGUGCGGUUGGCCUAAAUGCGGGUCCACGGUGACGGACGUCACGACAACUGGUGGUUGAAACUCAACUCUUGUAAUGUCGCGGCACCAACCCAUCGUAUGUUUGGGCUCCCCGACCCUUAUCAUGCUUAGGCGCUUCCACCGCGACCCCAGGUCAGGCGGGAAUACCCGCUGAGUUUAAGCAUAUCAAUAAGUGGAGGAAAAGAAACUUACAAGGAUUCCCCUAGUAACGGCGAGCGAAUCGGGAACAACCCAGCCUUAGAAUCGGGCAGCUCUAUUGUCUGAAUUGUAGUAUGGAGAAGCUUCCUCAGCGGCGGACCGCGCCCAAGUCCCUUGGAAGGGGUGCUCCAGAGAGGGUGAGAGCCUCGUUGUGCCCGGACACUAUCGCACCACGAGGCGCUGUGUACGAGUCAGGUUGUUUGGGAAUGCAGCCCAAAUCGGGCGGUGAAUUCCGUCCAAGGCUAAAUACGGGUGAGAGAUCGAUAGCGAACAAGUAUCGCGAGGGAAAUAUGAAAAGGACUUUGAAAAAUGAGUCAAAGAGUGCAUGAAAUUGUCGGGAGGGAACAGAUGGGGGCCGGCGAUGCGCCCCGGUUGGAUGUGAAACGGUGUUGAGCUGGUCCGCUGAUCGACUCGGGGCGUGGACCAGCGUGGAUUGGGGGGGGGCAAAGACCGGGCUUUUGAUACGCUCGUACAAUGCCGUCUCCUUGAUUGUGGUAGGCAACGCGCGCCUUUGGCGCGCUUUGGCAUCUGCGCGCUCCAGACACUGGCUUGUGGGCACCCCAUUCGACCCGUCUUGAAACCCAGACCGAGGAGUCUGAUAUGUGUGCGAGUCAACGGGCGACUAAACCCGUAAGGCGUAAGGAGGCUGAUUGGUGGGAUCCCCCUGAGGAGUGCACCGCCGACCGACCUUGAUCUUCUGUGAAGGGUUCGAGUGUGAGCAUACCUGUCGGAACCCGAAAGAUGGUGAACUAUGCCUGAGCGAGGCGAAGCCUGAGGAAACUCUGGUGGAGGCUUGCAGUGAUACUGACGUGCAAAUCGUUCGUCUGACUUGGGUAUAGGGGGCGAAAGACUAAUCGAACCGUCUAGUAGCCGGUUCCCUCCGAAGUUUCCCUCAGGAUAGCUGGAGCUCGCGUGCGAGUUCUAUCGCGUAAAGCCAAUGAUUAGAGGCAUUGGGGGCGCAACGCCCUUGACCUAUUCUUAAACUUUAAAUAGGUAGGACGGCACGACUGCUUUGUUGAGCUGCGCCACGGAAUCAAGAGCUCCAACUAGGCCAUUUUUGGUAAGCAGAACUGGCGAUGCGGGAUGAACCGGAAGCCGGGUUACGGUGCCAAACUGCGCGCUAACCUAGAUCCCACAAAGGGUGUUGGUCGAUUAAGACAGCAGGACGGUGGUCAUGGAAGUCGAAAUCCGCUAAGGAGUGUGUAACAACUCACCUGCCGAAUCAACUAGCCCCGAAAAUGGAUGGAGCUUAAGCGCGCGACCUACACCCGGCCAUCGGAGCAAGUGCCAGGCCCCGAUGAGUAGGAGGGUGCAGCGGUCGCUGCAAAACCUUAGGCGAGAGCCUGGGUGGAGUGGCUGUCGGUGCAGAUCUUGGUGGUAGUAGCAAAUAUUCAAAUAAGAACUUUGAAGGCCGAAGAGGGUAAAGGUUCCAUGUGAACGGCACUUGCACAUGGGUUAGUCGAUCCUAAGGGUCGGGAGAACCCCGACAGAUAGCGCGUUUCACGCGUACUCCAAAAGGGAAUCAGGUUAAACUUCCUGAACUGGGACAUGGCGGUUGACGGAAAUUUUAGGAAGUCUGGAGACGUUGGCGGGGGCCUCUGGAAGAAUUAUCAUUUCUAUUUAACAGCUUGCCCACCCUGGAAAUGACUUUUCUAAUUGGGUAUUAGAAGUGUUGUAUGUAUUUAGAUGGUGGAAUUGGGAUCAGGUAUGGUGAUGCCGUUGUUAUAUAGAGUUGGAGACUCGGAGUUCUCACAUUCAGACUACGUUGUGGUUGUGGGUCGCAUGUAGUAGCUCUAUUUAGCGACUAUCGGGGUUUGGAGACCUGAGUGGAUCUUUUGUUACCUGGUAUGUUACAUUUUUGAUGUGAUAUCGGGUAUAGACUGGUUGUCUCAAUGUUGUGUCAUUCUGGGCGAUGUUGGCUAUGACGGGAAUGCCAUGGAUCGAGUGGCGAGAUUCGAUGGAUUUCAUGUUCUAGUAGGGUAGUUUUAUAUUUCGAAAAUGCUGCGAAUGGCUGGGAAGGAUUGUCUUCCUUAUUUGGGCUCUCAUGAGGGAAGUCAGUGUAGAGGCUCCUCAUAUUGAUUCAGUUCCGGUGGUGAGGUACUUUUCGAACGUGUUUCAUAUGGUCGGGCAUGUCGCCGAGCAAAGUUGUUGAUCAGUAUUGAUUUGGUGAUGUGCACCGUAUCAUAUGGCACCGACAGAGUGAGAGGAGUUGAAGGAGUAGCUUCUAGGACUCCUUAAUAAGGGGUUCAUUGGUAGACCUAUAUGGAUGUGCGUUCUACAUCGACAUGGCUUUGUUGACAUCAAGUCGGUAUUGGUGAGGGGUAUG
This 2785-nucleotide ribosomal RNA is filed under the name Nicotiana tabacum (common tobacco). RNAcentral's name for it is "eukaryotic LSU rRNA". The stretch from base 385 to 2306 matches the Rfam family "Eukaryotic large subunit ribosomal RNA". The record is from RNAcentral. Lineage: Eukaryota; Viridiplantae; Streptophyta; Magnoliopsida; Solanales; Solanaceae.